Branchiostoma floridae (Florida lancelet) is the source of this 582-nucleotide long non-coding RNA. RefSeq lists it as uncharacterized. The record is from RefSeq and is a predicted model, not a curated record. NCBI's taxonomy places the organism in Eukaryota, Metazoa, Chordata, Leptocardii, Amphioxiformes, Branchiostomatidae. The transcript has 2 exons.
CUGCAAUCAAUUUCAUUAUCUCAGAUAGCCAAUCGUACAAGAGCAUUCCUUUGACCAAUAACACCGGCGGAUUUUCUAGACUAGACCAAUCGUGUAUAGACUAGCCCCUGUGAUGACCUGUCUGAAACCCCAAAGUGUCGCGUCGUUCGUCUGCCAGCCGUCUGAUGUGACAGACAUACCUCGCAACUCCCAUUACAAAAGGGCAGCACGACCGCUGUGAAUCCUUUGUACUUCAAGCCGUGUCUAACCCAAGACAACAGGAUCUUAUUGGUGCCAUCAAGACGGAUCAACUGCAGCUGCAAUGUUCAUGUUGGGACUUAUCCCGGUGAGAGGUUGUCCGAUGCCAUCUCCACGGCUAGCUGUACGGUGACGUCCAGGAGAUCGGUGCUCGUGUGAAAGCCCUGUCGGAGGACCCGAAACUAAGUUAAGUUCUUGUGUGCCUUAUGGGGUGUGAAACGGAAACAUAUUGUAGAGAUGGUCUGGGACUAACUUGUCGGCAUGAUAGGAAGUAAACAAUUUGUGCGGUCUCUUAUGUAUUAAACUAUAGGCCGGUGUCUCUGACAUCGGUCUGUGGUAAAGUGC